AGAGUUUGAUCCUGGCUCAGGACGAACGCUGACGGUGUGCUUUAGGCAUGCAAGUCGAACGAGAAAGCCCUUCGGGGUGAGUAGAGUGGCGAACGGGUGAGUAACACGUGGGCAACCUGCCCCUCGCAGGGGGAUAACCGGAGGAAACUCCGGCUAAUACCCCGUAAGCUUUCAGGGUCGCAUGGCUCUGUAAGGAAAGGUAGCUUCGGCCAUCCGGCGAGGGAUGGGCCCGCGGUGCAUUAGCUAGUUGGUGGGGUAACGGCUUACCAAGGCAACGAUGCGUAGCUGGUCUGAGAGGACGAUCAGCCACACUGGGACUGAGACACGGCCCAGACUCCUACGGGAGGCAGCAGUCGGGAAUCUUGCGCAAUGGGCGAAAGCCUGACGCAGCAACACCGUGUGAGCGACGAAGGCCUUCGGGUCGUAAAGCUCUGUUGUUGGGGACGAAGGGCGAAGGGUUAAUAGCCCCUAGCUUGACGGUACCCUUCGAGGAAGCCCCGGCUAACUACGUGCCAGCAGCCGCGGUAAUACGUAGGGGGCGAGCGUUGUCCGGAAUUAUUGGGCGUAAAGAGCGUGUAGGCGGUUCGGUAAGUCUGCCGUGAAAACCUGGGGCUCAACCCCGGGCGUGCGGUGGAAACUGCCGGGCUAGAGGAUGGUAGAGGCGAGUGGAAUUCCCGGUGUAGCGGUGAAAUGCGCAGAUAUCGGGAGGAACACCAGUAGCGAAGGCGGCUCGCUGGGCCAUUCCUGACGCUGAGACGCGAAAGCUAGGGGAGCAAACAGGAUUAGAUACCCCAGUAGUCC
Molecule: ribosomal RNA, 801 nt
Filed under: uncultured Rubrobacter sp.
Lineage: Bacteria; Bacillati; Actinomycetota; Rubrobacteria; Rubrobacterales; Rubrobacteraceae
Description: bacterial SSU rRNA
Rfam family: Bacterial small subunit ribosomal RNA
Source: RNAcentral